Lampris incognitus (smalleye Pacific opah) is the source of this 260-nucleotide long non-coding RNA. RefSeq lists it as uncharacterized. The record is from RefSeq and is a predicted model, not a curated record. Lineage: Eukaryota; Metazoa; Chordata; Actinopteri; Lampriformes; Lampridae. The transcript has 4 exons.
GCCCUGUACUCUGACCGGAACUCCAGAGGGCAUUGGAUGGUAGCCACAAUGGACAGUGACCAGAACCCCACAAGCAGUAUCUCCUCUGCUGUCAUUAACUACACUUUUCAAGAUAAUGGAAGACCAGAACACGCGCUGAUUAAUGGAGGUACCUAUCUUCGAAUAAGACCUCCAAUGUAUUGGAGACUGCAAGGUGGUGACGAGGAGAACGUAGCUUGGCAGCAUUGGAUGGUGGUCUAUAGUGUGACUUUGGAGACAAA